GAGCUCACCUGUGACCGCCCAGCUCCAGACAAUCGACUUGCCUCCAGCUACGCCCUCUGAGACAGCAGACCACUACCUGCUGUGUCCAUCAAGCACUGUGCCGACAGGGCAAUCUUGUGACUAUUGUGGGAGGGACAUUUCAAUCACAUGUGAAACACCCCGUUUGGGGGUAUAUAACCACUCUGGCACCCCACUUCUUGGGUGCCCUUUCUUCCUUCUGGAAGAAAGGCCCCGGGCCAUGGUUCCUCAUAAAGCUUUGUUUAAUUUUCUCUUGCUAUUCUGUCUCAUGUGAAUUUAAUUCGUUCUCCAGCCAGACGAACCCCUAUUUGGGGAGAGGAAAUGUCCUCCUCCCCUACAGUUUUGGCGUAGUUGGCAGGCUGAAAUUUCCCUGGCUGGACACUGCUUGCUCCUAGACUGCUGCGGCUGAGAGAUCCCAGACCCCUGACGAGAGCCGGCAAGAGACAAAUUUUACAUGGGCACGGGUCGGCCACUUAAGUCAUUAGGAUGGUCGCCAAUCUCCAAGACUCCUGUGGAAGGUUUCUUUUCCUAAGGCUGGAUUGGGAUCCCUUCCUCUGGCACCUGAUCACUCUCUGAACUGUGGAAAUACUUCUUAAACACCUGAUUGCUUGCUUCCAAAAUAAAGGCCUAACUUUGGGAGCCCACCUGCGUCGCCACCUUCUAAAAUGAAUUUAACUGGACUGAUCUAUUACCAGGACUAAGAAAUGUGUUCAGUGAGAUGAAACAAUCUACUACCACUCAGCUUCUGGAUUGUGAAACUUUUAGUUUCAAAGGCGGGACUGUAGGGACCUGAAAUUGGCCACCCCAAGAUAUGUCUCUUUGGCAUCAGGAUUAUUUGAGGCUGAUUGCUUUUGAUAAAGUGGGACAGGGAAGGAGGCUCUGAGGAGUGGAACUUGCCCUUUGUUAGGACACAUUUACAUCUGUAAGGUAAAUCUCUAUCUGUAAAGGUGCCUCCCUCUCUGUAGUCAAGGAACUGAUUGCUGCGCUCAUCUGUGAUCCCCCAGCCCCGAGGCAACACACCUGCCACCCCGCAGCGUUCACUGAGACAGCAGACCUAUCUGCCUCCAUCAAGGGCUGUGCUGACAGAGCAGGCUCGUGACUGUUGUAAAAGGGACAUUUCAAUCAUACGUGAAACACCCUGUUUGGGGAUAUAUAACCACUCUGUGCACCCCACUUCUUUGGUGCCCUUUCU
Molecule: long non-coding RNA, 1210 nt
Filed under: Equus asinus (donkey)
Lineage: Eukaryota; Metazoa; Chordata; Mammalia; Perissodactyla; Equidae
Description: lncRNA (ENSEASG00005029539.1)
Source: RNAcentral